Molecule: long non-coding RNA, 100 nt
Organism: Octopus sinensis (East Asian common octopus)
Lineage: Eukaryota; Metazoa; Mollusca; Cephalopoda; Octopoda; Octopodidae
Exons: 3
Source: RefSeq, a predicted model, not a curated record
AUUUUUCCAUUACAAAGUUCUUACAAUUUCCAGUUGGUCAUAAUUAUGUGUAGCACUAUUUCAUUCUCUUUAGAAAUCUUCAUCCUGACACAACCAUGUG